AGCAGAGUGCCUCAGUACAGGGAGAGGGAUAGAGAAUGACACACAUAGAGAGCUGAAGAUUGCAGCUCAGUUUGAUGAAGAAAACAAACAUCCUCUUCAACAGCAGAUGUGCAGCAUGGCAGUGAGUCUGAGUGAUUACUGACCAGGAUCCCUGCAGAUGACAUGCAGUCUCAAAAAAGAGUGGAGGUGCAUGACCAUCUCAAUGGCUCGCGGAUCAUUUUCUCGGAUGAGGCUCUUCCCGGCAGUGGAUCAAGACAGCACUUCAUGGCUCCGAAUAUGACCCAGGAAGUAGUCGUAAUCUCUCCUGGUCUUCCUACACCUCCCUCAAGUCCGUUCCACAACAGUUCAGCCCCUGCAUCGUCACAGCACAAGGCAAGAGUACAGCUGUAACACAUUACUGCUGCAGACAUUAUUCCACAUGUGUGUUG
RNAcentral lists this long non-coding RNA (428 nucleotides) under Sinocyclocheilus anshuiensis. Its description in RNAcentral is "lncRNA (ENSSANG00000039222.1)". The record is from RNAcentral. Lineage: Eukaryota; Metazoa; Chordata; Actinopteri; Cypriniformes; Cyprinidae.